Molecule: long non-coding RNA, 68 nt
Filed under: Sus scrofa (pig)
Lineage: Eukaryota; Metazoa; Chordata; Mammalia; Artiodactyla; Suidae
Description: lncRNA (ENSSSCG00040023576.1)
Source: RNAcentral
AAUAUCACAUACCCACAAUCAAGGUCCUGGCUCUUCUGAAAUAGUCUGGACAAUCAGCAUAGUCCAUA